CAUGGAGAGUGAAUGAGUGGACAUUAAAGGGAGAUGGGAGGGAGUGCAUAAGGGGAAGCUUGAUCUCCCCUCCCUCUGUGCACUCCCUCCCAUCUCCCUUUAAUGUCCACUCAUUCACUCUCCAUGC
This is a non-coding RNA of Pelobates cultripes (western spadefoot toad), 127 nucleotides long. NCBI's taxonomy places the organism in Eukaryota, Metazoa, Chordata, Amphibia, Anura, Pelobatidae. The record is from the annotation of a GenBank genome assembly.